GGGAAAGCCAAUUAGAUGGACCCAGGCUGUGGGUGGGGGUGUAUGACAUGAGCCUUCUGAUUUCGUGAACCCGAAUCCCACUCGAGAAAGCGUAGUCAGAGCCAAGCACCAAACCAAAGAUGGAUUCGGAUUACGUUCGGGUGUUGCGGGGUCAUCCGCCUGUCGGUCCUUCUGCUUCGAGGGGAAGUUGUCUCGUGCGUGUUGGGCUUACGCGGAGCGUCGAGUCUCUCUCCGUGCCCAUUCCGUGCGCGUUAAGCAUGCUGCAGCGGAGGUGCAGACUCGCGAAUGGUGACGAAGGAGGAAGCCCCCAAGAGGUCUCUCUCUCUCCCUCAGCUGAUAGUAAUCCGCAUACUAGCCAAAAUUUGAUAGGUUUGAAUUGGGCGUUCUCCCCUUGGUGAUGAACUCUCCUCAGUACAAAAUUAACAAAAUAUUGUUAUUUCCUUAGUCCAUUUAAGUAUAUAUUACCUUAUUUUGAUCUUAUUUCUAACUUUACAUGGCCGGAUAGAGAUUAUUUCUCAAAUUACAUUUCAAGUUACAGAGAGU
RNAcentral lists this long non-coding RNA (543 nucleotides) under Elaeis guineensis (African oil palm). RNAcentral's name for it is "long non-coding RNA (EGUI_LNC029468)". The record is from RNAcentral. Lineage: Eukaryota; Viridiplantae; Streptophyta; Magnoliopsida; Arecales; Arecaceae.